UUCACGGUGCAAUUUCAAUUGGUAUCAGAGCCUGCAGACUUAAAUUAUUAGUCUGUCGAUCUGGCUAUCCCGUGCCUCUUGAACUCAAGUUUUCAACGACUCUUAUUGCUUUUCUUUAUUCUGUUAAUUUGUUCAAUCUCACGGGUUGUUGAGUGUUACAGAAUGGAUCGUGUUAAGGUUCUUCCCCAGCUAAUCGGCGACAACUACGCUUAUUGGAAAGCUCGCACACGUACACAUCUAAAAACUCAAGGUGAUGCAGUAUGGCGGUCCGUGGUGACAGGUUGGACUCAUCCGACUAAAGCCAGUAUCAGUGAUGAUGGAACUUGCAGGUACUGAGUAAGCUAAAGGUGCGUGGGAGGCUCUUGAGUCAACUUACAAAGGAACUACGUCAGUGAAACAAUCAAAGCUGCAACUAGUCCAGUCCGACUUUGAAGAGCUUCAGAUGAAUGAGGAUGAGACCAUCACGAACUUUCACACACGUGUACAGGAACUGGCAAAUCGUGCGAUGGUCCUCGGUGAACCUUUCCCCCAAAAAAAACUUGUUAAAAAAAUUCUGAGAUCGUUACCACCAAGGUUCAGAAUGAAAAUCACGGCCAUUCAGGAACAUGACGGCUGGGAGAACAAAACGGUUACUCAGUUAAUGGGAAAUCUUAGAACCUAUGAAAUGGAAAUUUUAACUGAUCACACGAAAACGAAAAAACAAAAAAAUGUAGCUUUUGCCGCUGAAGGAAAUAAUGUUGUAUCUGAUUCAGACGAACCAGGUGAUGAUACAAUUGUUUAUUUGACUAAACAAUUUUCUAAAAUUUUGAAACAGGUAUCAAAUAAUUCACGCAACAAAAAUCCACAAAGAGGAACAAUGUCAUCCAAAGCUGGUCCUAGGACAAGCUCGUCAAACUUCAAGCAGUCUGUCUCACGUCCAUGGCAGUCCAAAGAAAAAUCUAACAAUAAAGGAAUCAAAUGCUAUGAGUGUGAAGGCUUUGGACAUGUACAAGCGGAGUGUCCCACCUAUCUCAGACGCAAAAAGUUUAUGUCAGCCAUUACCUGGAGUGACGAUUAACCUAACGCUGAAACAACUAGAUCUGAUGUAGAAGAAGUCUCCUGUAAUUUUGUUGCUUUUACUGCACGUGUUGCUGGAUGUUCAGAACUUGAAUAAGGAGCUGACUCAGAGGGAGGUGAAUAUGUCUCAGCGGAAGAUUUAGAAUUAAAUGCUUUAUCUUUUGAAGUUGAGUUCAAUAAGUUGUACCCCAAAUGCGAAGCCCUAAGAUAAGAAAAUUGCAAAUUGUCUAGUGAGAUAGAGAUUGUAACAAAUGCUA
Molecule: long non-coding RNA, 1313 nt
Organism: Ipomoea nil (Japanese morning glory)
Lineage: Eukaryota; Viridiplantae; Streptophyta; Magnoliopsida; Solanales; Convolvulaceae
Exons: 2
Source: RefSeq, a predicted model, not a curated record